AGGGUUCGAUUCUGGCUCAGGAUGAACGCUGGCGGCGUGCUUAACACAUGCAAGUCGAACGGGAUCCCUGGCAGCUUGCUGCCGGGGUGAGAGUGGCGAACGGGUGAGUAAUGCGUGACCGACCUGCCCCAUGCACCGGAAUAGCUCCUGGAAACGGGUGGUAAUGCCGGAUGUUCCACAUGAUCGCAUGUGAUUGUGGGAAAGCUUUCGCGGCAUGGGAUGGGGUCGCGUCCUAUCAGCUUGAUGGCGGGGUAACGGCCCACCAUGGCUUCGACGGGUAGCCGGCCUGAGAGGGCGACCGGCCACAUUGGGACUGAGAUACGGCCCAGACUCCUACGGGAGGCAGCAGUGGGGAAUAUUGCACAAUGGGCGCAAGCCUGAUGCAGCGACGCCGCGUGCGGGAUGGAGGCCUUCGGGUUGUAAACCGCUUUUGUUGGGGAGCAAGCGCAAGUGAGUGUACCUUUCGAAUAAGCACCGGCUAACUACGUGCCAGCAGCCGCGGUAAUACGUAGGGUGCAAGCGUUAUCCGGAAUUAUUGGGCGUAAAGAGCUCGUAGGCGGUUUGUCGCGUCCGGUGUGAAAGUCCAUCGCUUAACGGUGGAUCUGCGCCGGGUACGGGCAGGCUGGAGUGCGGUAGGGGAGACUGGAAUUCCCGGUGUAACGGUGGAAUGUGUAGAUAUCGGGAAGAACACCAAUGGCGAAGGCAGGUCUCUGGGCCGUUACUGACGCUGAGGAGCGAAAGCGUGGGGAGCGAACAGGAUUAGAUACCCUGGUAGUCCACGCCGUAAACGGUGGAUGCUGGAUGU
RNAcentral lists this ribosomal RNA (805 nucleotides) under Bifidobacterium eulemuris. RNAcentral's name for it is "bacterial SSU rRNA". It matches the Rfam family "Bacterial small subunit ribosomal RNA", at positions 8 to 823 of the family's 1533-position model. Lineage: Bacteria; Bacillati; Actinomycetota; Actinomycetes; Bifidobacteriales; Bifidobacteriaceae. The record is from RNAcentral.